CUACUACAGCAAUAGAGAUAAGAACAGAGAUAAAAAAUAAACAUCCUUGAAAAUACUUUGUGUAAUUGAAGUGACAUCUGGCCAACUAAAACUAGAGUUAAACAAGCACAUUUGACUUUCUGCAUAAGUUAUAGCCUGAGAAAGAGAUGAGAAACUUAUAUAAUAGGUAUGUCUGAUGGAGAAUUACAACACGCCAAAACCUCCAUGGAUAGCAACAACCGAGAAAAGGAUAAUAAACUCUGCAGCAUCGAUCAUCAUUGCAUAGUGAUUGACAGUACUCUAGAUUGUGCAUAUACUGUCCAUCAGCCUGGUUUCUCAAAAGCACUGAACAGCAAGACCCUCAAGCGACCUGCACUGGAAAUAUAGAGUGAACAAAACAACAAACAUUUGUGCUAUCCACUGAGACUUUCAGGGUUGUUGGUUACCACAGCAUAACCAGUCCUAUCCUGGAUGAUGCACACGACAAGAAUUACAAAUGAAAAAAUUGUGAUAAUUCAAAUGGAAAAGGUAAACUGACACUCAAGAAAUUACUUUUAUAGUCUUGAAUGGCAUACCUAUCCUUGUCGGCAAUAGGCUAUCAAUUUUGUUUCACAGAAAUUUAGAUUCUAAAAUUGGAUCCAUGAUUUAU
Long non-coding RNA from Cercocebus atys (sooty mangabey), 628 nucleotides. RefSeq lists it as uncharacterized. The record is from RefSeq and is a predicted model, not a curated record. NCBI's taxonomy places the organism in Eukaryota, Metazoa, Chordata, Mammalia, Primates, Cercopithecidae. The transcript has 3 exons.